Molecule: long non-coding RNA, 486 nt
Organism: Manis pentadactyla (Chinese pangolin)
Lineage: Eukaryota; Metazoa; Chordata; Mammalia; Pholidota; Manidae
Exons: 3
Source: RefSeq, a predicted model, not a curated record
GCCCAGGCCAGAAAUAUGCUGUGGCCGCCAGCACUGUGGCUCCUCACGGUGCCGUGUCCCUUCUGCACUCCUAGGGGCUGUGUCAGACAGAGCCAGAGGAUGGAGAGGGCGCCCCUUCCGCCGUGAGACUGUGGCCGUGGCAACAAGAGCAGCUGAGCCGCCCAAGCUCCCGCCUGCGGGCCCAGCUGGCCCAGCCCGCAGGGCACCCCACCUGCUGUCCUGAAGCCUGCAGCAGCUGCCACCGUGGUGCCCAAGCUUGGGAAGAGGAGGUGAGGCCUCGAGGUGUAAGUACCCUGCCCAUGGUUACGGGCCUUUGCCAAGGUCAGGGCAAGUGACGCCCAACAUUUUGUGUCAUCUGGACGUGCAUUUCCUCCGCUUCCUUGCUGACUCUCUCCCCUGCGGAAAGCGAGUCCCCCAGGGUCUGACCUCCUCAGCGCUGUCCACUCUGCACCCAGCACAGAGGGUGGCACUCUGGAAAGGCUCACU